This 446-nucleotide long non-coding RNA is filed under the name Papio anubis (olive baboon). Its description in RNAcentral is "lncRNA (ENSPANG00000039460.1)". Lineage: Eukaryota; Metazoa; Chordata; Mammalia; Primates; Cercopithecidae. The record is from RNAcentral.
AGGAAACUUCAUACUGAUUUCCAUAGCAGCUGUAAAUUUAACAUUUUACAUUCCACCAGGAGAACUAAUUUCUCCACAUCUUGUCAAAAAAUGAUUUUCUUUCUUUCCUUCCUUCCUUUCUUCUUUCCUUCAUCCCUCUCCUUCCCUCCUUCCCUUUCUGCAUGCUUGCUUCUUUUUUUUUUAAUGGACAUCUAAACAGCACACAUUUGGAAAUAUUGGAUCAGCAUUGCAGCUAUACCAUUUAAACAGGACACACACGUUCCAGUUCUCCUUGACAGAGAGGCUGAAGAAUAUUGCUGGAGCUCCAGUCAUCAUUUCUGAAUGCCAAGAAACAGAAAUGGGGAAAAGCUUGACUACAAAAGGAUCCUCUUAUCAGCUAAGCCAGCUUACUUUCCACAGAUGUUUUGGAAAUCUUUCACAACACUUUUAUUUUUGUCUCAGUGACC